Molecule: ribosomal RNA, 446 nt
Filed under: uncultured bacterium
Lineage: Bacteria
Description: SSU rRNA
Rfam family: Bacterial small subunit ribosomal RNA
Source: RNAcentral
AGAGCGAACGCUGGCGGCAGGCCUAACACAUGCAAGUCGAGCGCCCGUAGCAAUACGGGAGCGGCAGACGGGAUAGUAACACGUGGGAACGCGCCCUUCGGUUCGGAAUAACUCAGGGAAACUUGAGCUAAUACCGGAUACGCCCUUACGGGGAAAGAUUUAUUGCCGAAGGAACGGCCCGCGUCCGAUUAGCUAGUUGGUGGGGUAAUGGCUCACCAAGGCGACGAUCGGUAGCUGGUCUGAGAGGAUGACCAGCAUCACUGGGACUGAGACACGGCCCAGACUCCUACGGGAGGCAGCAGUGGGGAAUAUUGGACAAUGGGCGCAAGCCUGAUCCAGCCAUGCCGCGUGGAUGAUGAAGGCCUUAGGGUUGUAAAGUCCUUUUAACGGGGAGAUAAUGACGGUACCGUAGAAUAAGCCCCGGCUAACUUCGUGCCAGCAGCCGC